RNAcentral lists this ribosomal RNA (440 nucleotides) under uncultured bacterium. Its description in RNAcentral is "bacterial SSU rRNA". It matches the Rfam family "Bacterial small subunit ribosomal RNA", at positions 8 to 482 of the family's 1533-position model. The record is from RNAcentral.
AGAGUUUGAUCCUGGCUCAGAAUCAACGCUGGCGGCGCGCUUAACACAUGCAAGUCGAACGAGAAAGCAGGAGCAAUCCUGUGAGUACAGUGGCGUACGGGUGAGUAACACGUGGAUUAUCUGCCCUGGAGUGGGGGAAUAACGCUGGGGAAACCGGCGCUAAUACCGCAUAUUCCCGAGAGGGGAAAGCAGCAAUGCGCUCGAGGAAGAGAGUCGCGGCUGAUUAACUAAUUGGUAAGGUUACCGGCUACCCAGGCUAUUAAUCGGUACCCGGCCUGAAAGGGCACACGGCCACACUGGCACUGAACACGGGCAGACUCUACGGGAGCAGCAGGGGGAUCUGCACAUGGGGGAAACCCUGAUGCAGCGACGCCGCGUGAGCGAUGAAGCCCUUCGGGGUGUAAAGCUCUUUCGGCAGGGAAGAUUAUGACGGUACCUGC